Molecule: transfer RNA, 84 nt
Filed under: uncultured Nitzschia
Lineage: Eukaryota; Bacillariophyta; Bacillariophyceae; Bacillariales; Bacillariaceae
Rfam family: tRNA
About the family: Transfer RNA (tRNA) molecules are approximately 80 nucleotides in length.
Source: RNAcentral
GGAAUGUGGUGAAAUUGGUAGACACGAUGGAUUUAAAAUCCAUUGCUUAGUGAUAAGCGUGAGGGUUCAAGUCCCUCCGUUCCC